GCAAGUCUGGUGCCAGCAGCCGCGGUAAUUCCAGCUCCAAUAGCGUAUAUUAAAGUUGUCGCAGUUAAAAAGCUCGUAGUUGAACCUCGGGAUCAAUGGAUCGGUCAUGCCAUCGGUAUGUACUGGUCUCAUUGGUUCUCACCUUCUAAGGAACCAUGAUGUCAUUCAGUUGAUGUUGUGGGGAAUUAGGACUGUUACCUUGAAAAAAUUAGAGUGUUUAAAGCAGGCUAACGCUUGAAUACAUUAGCAUGGAAUAAUGAAAUAGGACAUCGCAUUCUAUUUUGUUGGUUUCUAGGAUCGAUGUAAUGAUUAAUAGGGAUAGUUGGGGGCAUUAGUAUUCAAUUGUCAGAGGUGAAAUUCUUGGAUUUAUUGAAGACUAACUACUGCGAAAGCAUUUGCCAAGGAUGUUUUCAUUAAUCAAGAACGAAAGUUAGGGGAUCGAAGACGAUCAGAUACCGUCGUAGUCUUAACCAUAAACUAUGCCGACUAGGGAUCGGAUGAUGUUGAUUUUUUAAUGACUCAUUCGGCGCCUUACGGGAAAC
Molecule: ribosomal RNA, 542 nt
Filed under: uncultured Glomeromycotina
Lineage: Eukaryota; Fungi; Glomeromycota
Description: SSU rRNA
Rfam family: Eukaryotic small subunit ribosomal RNA
Source: RNAcentral